Molecule: transfer RNA, 73 nt
Filed under: Nanobdellota archaeon
Lineage: Archaea; Nanobdellati; Nanobdellota
Also listed under: 1 other name
Description: tRNA-Val
Rfam family: tRNA
About the family: Transfer RNA (tRNA) molecules are approximately 80 nucleotides in length. Their secondary structure includes four short double-helical elements and three loops (D, anti-codon, and T loops).
Source: RNAcentral
GGACCCGUAGUCUAGCGGCUAUGACGUCUCCUUGACAGGGAGAAGGUCGAGUGUUCGAAUCACUCCGGGUCCA